This 482-nucleotide ribosomal RNA is filed under the name uncultured bacterium. RNAcentral describes it as "partial 16S ribosomal RNA". It matches the Rfam family "Bacterial small subunit ribosomal RNA", at positions 30 to 507 of the family's 1533-position model. The record is from RNAcentral.
AUUGAACGCUGGCGGCAUGCCUUACACAUGCAAGUCGAACGGUAACAGGUCUUCGGAUGCUGACGAGUGGCGCACGGGUGAGUAAUACAUCGGAACGUGCCCGAUCGUGGGGGAUAACGAGGCGAAAGCUUUGCUAAUACCGCAUACGAUCUACGGAUGAAAGCGGGGGAUCUUCGGACCUCGCGCGGACGGAGCGGCCGAUGGCAGAUUAGGUAGUUGGUGGGAUAAAAGCUUACCAAGCCGACGAUCUGUAGCUGGUCUGAGGGGAUGAUCAGCCACACUGGGACUGAGACACGGCCCAGACUCCUACGGGAGGCAGCAGUGGGGAAUUUUGGACAAUAGGCGAAAGCCUGAUCCAGCCAUGCCGCGUGCAGGAUGAAGGCCUUCGGGUUGUAAACUGCUUUUGUACGGAACGAAAAGCCUCUUUCUAAUAAAGAGGGGUCAUGACGGUACCGUAAGAAUAAGCACCGGCUAACUACGUG